This 74-nucleotide transfer RNA is filed under the name Sandaracinaceae bacterium. Its description in RNAcentral is "tRNA-Ile". It matches the Rfam family "tRNA". From Rfam's summary of the family: Transfer RNA (tRNA) molecules are approximately 80 nucleotides in length. Their secondary structure includes four short double-helical elements and three loops (D, anti-codon, and T loops). The record is from RNAcentral. Lineage: Bacteria; Pseudomonadati; Myxococcota; Polyangiales; Sandaracinaceae.
GGGCCUAUAGCUCAAUUGGUUAGAGCCCCCCGCUCAUAACGGGGUCGUUCUAGGUUCAAGUCCUAGUGGGCCCA